CUGUUUUGGAGGGAGUGACACCCCAAUGGGAAACUCUUCCUCUGAAAACUCUUAGGGAACUACAGCGUUCCGUUAAGAGCACUGGGCCAAGUGCUCCAUACUCUGCAGACUGUGGACAUGUUGGGUGGCAUGUGGCUAAGUCCGCUCUUAGCCCAGGACAGUUCGUAGUAUGGAGGACUGAAUAUAAGGAUAGAGCAGGGAAGUGAUUCUGAAUUUAGUCGGCAAGAGAAGAGUAGAUAAGCCUACUUUGUCAACGCUCUUGGGUAGAGAGGACUAUGCCUCCCCUCAAGCACAAGUGAGUCUAAAAAAGAAGGUACGGGAAGAAGUCUCCAAGAUAGCAGUAGCUGCUUGGAAAAGGCUCCCUCCUGCUGAUGGUAAAACAACUGUAUUAUCAGGAA
This 398-nucleotide long non-coding RNA is filed under the name Rattus norvegicus (Norway rat). RNAcentral describes it as "long non-coding RNA NONRATT009962". Lineage: Eukaryota; Metazoa; Chordata; Mammalia; Rodentia; Muridae. The record is from RNAcentral.